AUGACUUAGUGAGGUCUUAGGACCGAGGUGAAGGUGCUUUAACGAGUGCCUACGCUUUGGAAAUUUGAUCGAACUAAGUUAUCUAGAGGAAGUAAAAGUCGUAACAAGGUUUCCGU
This 116-nucleotide ribosomal RNA is filed under the name Xiphinema cretense. Its description in RNAcentral is "partial 18S ribosomal RNA". It matches the Rfam family "Eukaryotic small subunit ribosomal RNA", at positions 1693 to 1806 of the family's 1831-position model. Lineage: Eukaryota; Metazoa; Nematoda; Enoplea; Dorylaimida; Longidoridae. The record is from RNAcentral.